AGGCUGCAUCAACACCUGAAUACAAUAAACUUGCAACUAAAAUGUGGAUAUGAAGAAACUUGUUAUUUCUUUGAAACAGCUAAAGUUUAUCACGGAAUCUCAGACAUGGCGCAGGUCUCAUGUAUCUUAUAACAACACUUGGAGCAUUCAUAGCCGAUGUUCAUUCCUUUUCUCAUACCUGAUGAAUUGACUUCAAUCAGUCGCAGUACCUGCAAGUGUACUCUCUCGACACCAGUGAGGGGGCAGUCAUGGCAUUUGAAACCAACACUACCCCAAACUUGACCCUAGAAAACGACGAUCAGAAAGGGAAUGUAGUUGAUGUGAAGCCACUGCUCGCAGUCGUUGCAGCUGUAGUUCCAGCACCUUUUAUCGAUAUCCUCUUCACAAACCUCACAAAUUUGUUGGGUAUCAUCAUCAUCAUCAUCGGUGGUUAACUUAGUUGAGGUGGUUAGGUUGAGAGGGUGUGCAUCAAAUUUGUGGCUAAUGGUAGUGGGAAGCAAAGCGCAGCGAGCAUGUAGUUUUAGAUGACGACAAUUGCUGCACUUAUAGAACAUUCUAUUUGCAAAGUCGUUGCAGCAGCUACACGUGCCUGAGUAACGCGACAUGUAAAGAAUGUGCGUCUUCCCGUGAGAGGCGUGGGUGAUUGAGGCAGGCAUUAGUGCGCACAAAACAUCCAUGCUGACGUCUUUGCAAGUUUUGCAGCAGUAGGCGAAUCCAGAGCACAGCAUCCAGCAACCAUGGCAGAAGAAGCCUUCAUCAUAAUUUUUUCUGGGUGCUUUUGUGAAGAGGGAAAGGGUGUGGUCUGGAUGAAAGGGGUGCUUGAUUUUGGGUGGAAGAUUGAAACAAGAGUCGUGGAGAAGAAAAUCCGGACAUUGGGAACAGCUGUAGAAUGGAGGGGAAAUGAACUGAACACACGCAUUGCAUACACGGGAUGAAGAAUGCCCUGUGCCAUCAUCGUCGUCUUCAUCAUCAGCUUCACCACUAUCCUCUUCAUCAUGAAAGAUCGACGGAUGUUUAUGUAAUCUUUGAUCAUAUCCGUAUUUGGGAUUACCAACCUCCUCCUCCUCAUAGUCAUAAUCACCAUAUUCUUCUUUAUGAUGACGAAAGAUUACUGGAAGUUGAUGUCCAUCUACGGAAUCAGCAUCCUCAUAUUCUCCAGCAGCAUCAGUAUUCUCCAACAUAUAGCGCACGAUGCUUGUGCGUUCAUCUGGCAUCGGAAGAUGGAGCAGGUUGGCCAGCUUUGCAUCUCGAAUUAACACUGCAAAUUAAAACAUCAGUUUGAUUAAUAUAAUGAAUUAAUCACACACAUAUACAUAGGUUAUUUUUCCAACCUGACUCAAAACAGCGAGGAUCCGAUGUUGCACACCUAAUAUGAGCAAAAUAGCUACACUUGAAACAGAAAUAAGCACCCACGCUAUACAACAAGAUCCUUUCUCCACAGAAUGCACAUUUGCAAUCUCGAUCAUGAAAAGCAUGCAUAAUAUUAUAGGUGAGAAAAAGAGAAUGCUGAUGCUGCGGCCGUUGCACUAGUCGGAUAGCAUUAGGUGAGGAAGCGCAAUCUUUAUGAAUCCAGAAACCACAAGGAGUGCACAGAUACGACGGAGACAAUAGGCCUUCAUGUUGCGUUCCACACGCGCUGCAUCUGAAGGCAGCCGGGCCCCUUAUAACCGCUGUCAACCUGUGCUCGUGGCUCCUGUGCAAGAUUUUGAUCUGCAAACUGCACAACACGUCGAGUUGAACAUCACAAGAAAAAUCAAGACAUUGAUAGAACAUACUCCCGCAUUUUUCACUACAUCCAUCGCAAAAUUCUGUUGAUGGUGAAUCCCAGUUUUCCUUGAGCACGAGGGGCCCGCCGGGGUGAAACGCAUUAUCCAUCAAAAUCUUGGGGAGAUUAGCGCAUUGAUCGUGCAGGAGUGCUUGACCGUGUUUGGUGUUGAUUCUGUUGAAGGGCGUGGAGAAGAUUGGGAGCGUACAAGCACUGCACAUCCAAGAAUUUCCAUCGUCUGGAUCAACGCCGUUUUCUUCACUCCUUAUUUUAGUGUGAGACGACAACACGAAUUUAAAACUUCGUAUCAUUUUGUCUCUUCUACACAAAGAGAGAGAGAAAUAACCAAUACUUCAAUUUGUUGUUUAUGAUUUCUAUAACUUUGAUACGGUGAUACUACCAAAACCACAACGCAAGAUAAGAAUAAUAAAGUAAUUCACUUCUUAGUUUGUCAUUUUCGUACAUCUACAAAGGCAAUACCAAAACCCCAACACAAUAUAAGAAUAAAAUAGCAUAAUUCCCCAAGCACUAAUAAUGAGGAAUAUACAAGGGUACUACCAAAACCCCAGCGCAAGAUAAGAAUAUAUAAAGUAGCAUAUAUAAUUCCCCAAGCACUUAUAAUAAUGAGGAAUACAAAGGUACUACCAAAACCCCAGCGCAAGAUAAGAAUAAAGUAGCAUAUAUAAUUCCCCAAACACGAAUAAUUUUUAACUUCCUUACUUAUAUCUAUACUUAUAAGAGCAUUGUUUUACAAAAUUUGAUUUGCCUAUUAUAUCCCUCCUAUAUUCUUAAUUUAAGGUUAAUAUAUAUAAUAAAUCUAAAAGUAUAUUAUAGUUUAUGUUUAUAUUUUAAUAAUUAUUUAAGUAGUACGUAGUAUCCAUUAAAACUCUCCAUCCACAUAAAUUAAUAUUUUUUAUUCUAUAAAUUUAAUAAUUUAGAAUUACAAUAUAAAUGAUUAUUUAAUAAUUUUAUUAUAAGUUUAAUUUUAUUAUUAUUUAAUUUUGGGGUGUUUUAAUUUAACGAUGAAAAAUUAGGUUAUGCUUAGUUAAUUAAAAUUAUUUUUUAAUAUUGAAUUUAGAUAGUUUUUUUUCAUUUUUAUGAGUUUUACAAUAUUAUAAUUUUUGAAAAUUAAAAUUGAUUUUAAUAAUAUAUUUAAAUGAUUAAUGUUACUAUAAAUGAAAUAUAAAUUUAUAUUCAAAAAAAAUUACUAUUUAGUAAAAUAAUUUCAAAUAAUUUCUUUUUACGCUGCGAUUUGCGAAUGCACGUUUCUCUCUAGUUUUAUUUAAAUAAAAUAUUUUACUUAUCAUUUUCUGAACUACACGCAAUAUAUAUACAUCAACCAUUGAUUUUUCUAAAAAAAUUCAUUUCGUAUCGAUUUUAAAACAUGCAUGUACAAAAUUAUAUAAUUAUUUUUUUCUCAUAUUUUAAACAGAAUUUGGAUAUGUAAGAAGUAAACAGAACCUGCUUCAUAUUGAUUCACAUAUAUAAAAGAAAACAUAAUUUGAACGUUUCAUAUAUAAAAGACAAGUGUAUACACAUUAUUCUGAUACAUCAUUGUCUGUAAAGAGGCUGCAUAAACACCUGAAUACAAUAAACUUGCAACUAAAAUGUGGAUAUGAAGAAACUCUAUUUCAUUGAAACAGCUAAAGUUUAUCACGGAAUCUCAGACAUGGCGCAGGUCUCAUGUAUCUUAUAACAACACUUGGAGCAUUCAUACGCACGUGUUCAUACAUUUCUUCAUCAUACCUGAUGAAUUGACUUCAAUCAGUCGCAGUACCUGCAAGUGUACUCUCUCGACACCAGUGAGGGGGCAGUCAUGGCAUUUGAAACCAACACUACCCCAAACUUGACCCUAGAAAACGACGAUCCAGAAAGGGAAUGCAGUUGAUGUGAAGCCACUGCUCGCAGUCGUUGCAGCUGUAGUUCCAGCACCUUUUAUCGAUAUCCUCUUCACAAACCUCACAAAUUUGUUGGGUAUCAUCAUCAUCAUCAUCAUCGGUGGUUAGUUUGAGAGGGUGUGCAUCAAAUUGUGGUAAUGGUAGUGGGAAGCAAAGCGCAGCGAGCAUGUAGUUUUAGAUGCGACAAUUGCUGCACUCAUAGACACUCCCUGAAUGAGGUUGCAGCAGCUACACGUGCCUGAAGAUUGUAACGCGACAUGUAAAGAAUGUGCGUCUUCCCGUGAGAGGCGUGGGUGAUUGAGGUAGGCAUUAGUGCGCACAAAACAUCCAUGCUGAAGUCUGUGCAAGUCAUGCAGCAGUAGGCAAAUCCAGAGCACACACUCCAGCAACCAUCGCAGAUGAAGCCUACAUCACGAUGUUUGAUGGGUGCUUUUGUGAAGAGNACGAAUAAUUUUUAACUUCCUUACUUAUAUCUAUACUUAUAAGAGCAUUGUUUUACAAAAUUUGAUUUGCCUAUUAUAUCCCUCCUAUAUUCUUAAUUUAAGGUUAAUAUAUAUAAUAAAUCUAAAAGUAUAUUAUAGUUUAUGUUUAUAUUUUAAUAAUUAUUUAAGUAGUACGUAGUAUCCAUUAAAACUCUCCAUCCACAUAAAUUAAUAUUUUUUAUUCUAUAAAUUUAAUAAUUUAGAAUUACAAUAUAAAGGAUGUAUUUAAUAAUUUUACUAGAAGUUUAAUUUUUCUAGAAUCCUUGGAAUUAAAAAUAAUUAUGUAAAGAUGAAACGUAGAAAAUAAACAUGAAUUUUAUAUCAAUCUUCUUCUCUUUUUGGUCGUGUUUUAAUUUAACGAUGAAAAAAUUAGGUUAUGCUUAGUUAAUUAAAAUUAUUUUUUAAUAUUGAAUUUAGAUUAUGUUUUAAUAAGUUUUUUUCAUUUUUAUGAGUUUUACAAUAUUAUAAUUUUUGAAAAUUAAAAUUGAUUUUAAUAAUAUAUUUAAAUGAUUAAUGUUACUAUAAAUGAAAUAUAAAUUUAUAGUAUUCAAAAAUAAAUUAUUUAGUAAAAUAAUUUCAAAUAAUUUCUUUUUACGCUGCGAUUCUGCGAAUGCACGUUGUCUCUCUAGUUUUAUUUAAAUAAAAUAUUUUACUUAUCAUUUUCUGAACUACACGCAAUAUAUAUACAUCAACCAUUGAUUUUUCUAAAAAAAUUCAUUUCGUCAUCGAUUUUAAAACAUGCAUGUACAAAAUUAUAUACAUUAUUUUUUUCUCAUAUUUUAAACAGAAUUUGGAUAUGUAAGAAGUAAACAGAACCUGCUUCAUAUUAUGAUUCACAUAUAUAAAAGAAAACAUAAUUUGAACGUUUCAUAUAUAAAAGACAAGUGUAUACACAUUAUUCUGAUACAUCAUUGUCUGUAAUAAGAGGCUGCAUAAACACCUGAAUACAAUAAACUUGCAACUAAAAUGUGGAUAUGAAGAAACUCUAUUUCUUGAAACAGCUAAAGUUUAUCACGGAAUCUCAGACAUGGCGCAGGUCUCAUGUAUCUUAUAACAACACUUGGAGCAUUCAUACGCACGAUGUUCAUUAGCAUCUUCUUCAUCAUACCUGAUGAAUAUGUACUUGCAAUCAUCGCAGUAGUAGCCUGCAAGUGUACUCUCUCUGACACCAGUGAGGGGGCAGUCAUGGCAUUUGAAACCAACACUACCACCAAACUUGACCCUAGAAAUAGCAUCCAGAAAGGGAAUGCAGUUGAUGUGAAGCCACUGCUCGCAGUCGUUGCAGCUGUAGUUCCAGCACCUUUUAUCGAUAUCCUCUUCACAAACCUCACAAAUUUGUUGGGUAUCAUCAUUAUCAUCAUCGGUGGUUAGGUUGAGAGGGUGUGCAUCAAAUUUGUGGCUAAUGGUAGUGGGAAGCAAAGCGCAGCGAGCAUGUAGUUUUAGAUGGCGACAAUUGCUGCACUNNN
This 5611-nucleotide long non-coding RNA is filed under the name Salvia miltiorrhiza (redroot sage). Its description in RNAcentral is "long non-coding RNA (SMIL_LNC004817)". The record is from RNAcentral. Lineage: Eukaryota; Viridiplantae; Streptophyta; Magnoliopsida; Lamiales; Lamiaceae.